Acromyrmex echinatior (Panamanian leafcutter ant) is the source of this 780-nucleotide long non-coding RNA. The record is from RefSeq and is a predicted model, not a curated record. NCBI's taxonomy places the organism in Eukaryota, Metazoa, Arthropoda, Insecta, Hymenoptera, Formicidae.
GUAAAUGUAUGAUUGUUUUAAAUGUAAAUGUGUGCCUCUUUUCGUAUUGAACGAAAUUGAAUAAAGAGAAAUGUAUUAACGCGUUCUCAUUCAUCAGCUGAAAAACGAAUAUUGAAAACGAACAAUUCAUUCAAAUUGUGCAUACGUUGUCGUUCAUCAGCGGAAAAUCAAGGAUUGGAAACGAGCAAGUAUUGGAAUCUCUUCAAAAAUAUUCACACGCAUACUUGUGUAUAUUAGUCAUCCUUCGCCAUAUACUGCGUGUGUUUGAGAGUGCAAGAAAUGGGCAAGAAGGGGCUAAAAUGAUCAAUAUGAGGUGUAAAAACGGUUAAAAAUUUUUAUAAGAAAUAAGUUGAGCGACUUAGCACUUUUACCGUUGUGAAUAUGUGGCGUUACACUAAGCAAACAUGUCGCCUGUCACGAAACAUAAGCUGUGUAUUGACCUUACUUCGUAUUUAUUAAACAUGUAGUCGACCAAUCGAUAACCUAGUUUCGAUUGAAGAUUCUCCGAUAUCAGGCAGGUAGCAUCUGCGCAGGGCGAAACUCGGGUCACCGACAUGAAAGCGCCGAAGGAUUAAAAUUACCUGCUAUCCAAGUUCGUUUACUUCUCGCUGAGAAGUCACCGCAAAAGCUAUGAAAAAGCUUGCUAAGUUUAUCCCAAAUCGCUCGGGGAUAGACAGAAUAUAAUAAGAAAAGGAUACGUGUACAUAUAGUUCCUACGAGUUACUUAUUUAACAGGUGGAGCUCCGAAUUUAUCGAGUACCCCGAAGAGAAGUAACCUAG